UACGGAGGGGGCAAGCGUUGUUCGGAUUUACUGGGCGUAAAGGGUGUGUAGGCGGUCGCGUAAGUCUGGUGUGAAAUCUUCAUCGCUUAACGGGAAGAGGUCACUGGAUACUGCGCGACUCGAGUAUGGUAGAGGCUAGCGGAAUUCCUGGUGUAGCGGUGGAAUGUGUAGAUAUCAGGAAGAACAUCUGUGGCGAAGGCGGCUAGCUGGGCCAUCACUGACGCUGAAACACGAAAGCGUGGGGAGCAAACGGG
Molecule: ribosomal RNA, 254 nt
Filed under: uncultured bacterium
Lineage: Bacteria
Description: partial 16S ribosomal RNA
Rfam family: Bacterial small subunit ribosomal RNA
Source: RNAcentral